UCAUUGCCUCAUUCUUGGUAUGGUGGCACCUUCAAAAGCAAUCUUCUCAAGUAAAAACAGCUAUAAACGAAUAUAAGUGUGAUACAAAUAAUGAUCAGAGCAAAGAACAAACGUAAGUCUAAACGAUAUACAAACGUACCACAACGUAACAUUAUGAAAGUAACAUGUAUCCAAAUAAACAGCCGUAACAUUACGUAACAUUAAGAAAGUAUUACGUAAAAAAUAAACAAAUGUAACAUUACACAACAUAACAUAACGUUACUUAUCCAACUACACAAGCGUAACACUACGAAAGUAUUACGUAAACAAAUAAACAAACGUAACAUUACAAAACAUAACGUAAUUUUACGUACCCAACUUCACAAACGUAACAUUACAAAGGUAUUUGGUAUUCAGAUAUAACACGUCAUAAUGAACGUAUUAAGUAUUCAAAAUAUAUAAAUGUAACAUUAUGAACGUACCAUCAGCAAAUAUCCAUUUGCCUCCAUGUACGACUUUGAACCAAUCCCCAACUGAGUUGUGAUUUUAACUAGGUGUCUGCACUAGUUAUACUGGGUAGGAUCCUGGGAAGCAUCGAUCAUGAAAAUAGCCAAAUGAUCCAAGGUGGUGGAUCUGCUGCCAAGUGGUUUGAAGAGAAAACCCACAACGAAAAUGAUGAACAACUAAAUCCAUAUGUUGUCGUCCUUCUCCUUCUUCAUUCUACUAGUAAGAUCUGACAAAACUCCCGAUAUUAAGAUUAACCUCCUCUGCCCAUUCACAAAUUUUUUCAUCUGGAUAGCAAAUGUAGCCACAUAUGAUAUAUUCACCAUGAGGAAGAUUGUACAUCCGUCUGACAUCAUCUUCAGUCGGAGUUAUAGUCUUCCUUUCGGGAAGACUUAGAGUAGCAGUGGGACAAUCAAAAUUCUAAUUUAUAAACUGAAGAAUAUCAUAUCUGAAACUCAGAAUAGAUAGGAACUCAAAAAAACCGAAACCACAGUCCUUGAUCAACUGUUUACGAAUAAGUGAAGCCAACUUUCAUAUGCCACAGAUCUUCCAUGGACUGCAUCUCGUGUGGACAAUAGAACUGGAGGAUUCUACUUCAGCAUUUCGAACAGGCCCCGCCUUACCAAAGAUCGUUCCUCUUCUCAGCCUCGAAAUGCUUGUUUGAUAUUU
RNAcentral lists this long non-coding RNA (1152 nucleotides) under Linum usitatissimum (flax). RNAcentral describes it as "long non-coding RNA (LUSI_LNC006732)". The record is from RNAcentral. Lineage: Eukaryota; Viridiplantae; Streptophyta; Magnoliopsida; Malpighiales; Linaceae.